This is a long non-coding RNA of Xiphophorus hellerii (green swordtail), 773 nucleotides long. RefSeq lists it as uncharacterized. The record is from RefSeq and is a predicted model, not a curated record. The transcript is spliced from 2 exons. Lineage: Eukaryota; Metazoa; Chordata; Actinopteri; Cyprinodontiformes; Poeciliidae.
GCAGGAUUAGCUCGUAAAACCGAGCAUACACACUAAUCUACGGUUUAAACGCGUAUUUCUAUUCCUGUGGAGGUAUUUUAUUAGACUUUUUGGAAUAGCUGACUGAAUAUAAAGCACUGAAUGACUGCUGAGGUGACCUGAAGCCAUGAAUGCUUCAAUGAAUCUCAAACUGCGAGAACAAGUAUUUCUACACGGAUCAGGAAGGAGGUGGCGGGGGGAUGUAAGGUAGGUUAGAAGGACGGAUGGACAAGAAAAACAAAGAAAAGAAAUCAAGAUCUGAAAAAUGGCUGCAUUUCCAUCCAGUGUGGGAGGUGGUGUGAUUUAUUCUGCCAGUCAGCUGUUCACUAAGUAUCAACCUCAGGUGUGUCACAGUUAAAGCUGUUAUUUGCGCCUCAGACAGUGGACUUUGUAUGCAUGAACUGCUUAGGCACUUCAUUGCCUCGUUUUUUAAAGUCAGUAACAAAUAACAGUUGUUUUCAUGAAGACUGAAUGAAAAAGGUGCACAAGAAGGUUAAAGCAAUAUCAAAGUUUUAUUCGUAAAAUGUAGUAUAGAGAGGAACAGUAGUACAAUUCAGACAGAAAAAAGGAAAAUGUAGUUCCAUCUUUGAAAACCUUUGAUAAAAACGUAAAAAGAGUAACCUGAAUUUGCUUCGUGUUCGGAAAAAAGGGCACUGAGGCGCGGCCCCGGGUUUUGCAUCACUGUUAAAAGUUCGAGAGAUAGAGAGAAGAGUUGAAAAAUACAACCUUUUUUUUUCUUUUUUUUUUGCAACAGC